CCUAAACUGAAAUAAUAAAAAGGCAACUAACAGAUGGUUUGGAGUUACAUUAUAUUACUGUGCAUUUUACAGCAAAAAUAUUCAUUAAUAAUGCAAGGAAAAAACAAAACUGGCUAAAUAAAUAAAUAAAUAAAUAAAUAAAUAAAUCAAGCUAAAUUAAGGUAAUAUAGCGCUAUAAUAAACCCAAAUAAUUAUUCAUAUAUCAUUAUUCCACUAUUACAGAGCAAAAAGGUCAAUAUAGUUAUUAAUAGGAUACAUUACAGCACUGUAUAUAUAAUAAUAUAUACAACAAUAACUAUAUAUAAUAUGAAAUCUAUAACGUGAGGUGAACCCUUUUAACCCUCAAGUGUGUGCCAACUGACUGUCGCGAAAAAAGCUUUUUCAAAGGGAAAAAAGUGACGUACAAUUUCAAUCAUUAAGACCGCGAAGCGAAUCAAAUCCGGCGGAUUUACAGACGCCGCGGUCGGCGCGGUGUCUGUCGUACGCUUGUAUUUAAGAUCAUAAAUAGACGGACAGAACGCCAGGCCACGUUCUCCGAGCUUCUCCGAGCGAGAACGUGGAUUAAGCGGGUCAAGAGUUCAGCGUCGGGGUUCGGAUUUCUCCAGAGAGCCGACGUCCUGCUUCAUCGGUUACUCUUAAUUCCUUUUCAUUUGGUUUAUGUAAAUCUCGGGGAAACGCAUUACGUCUCGCAGCCUCGUUUAUUAAACCACAAAAGACACGAAGUUGUUCAUCAGAGUUUGUCGCAAACCUGUUCUCAUUUAGACUGAGCGAUGUGUGUGUGUGUGUGUGUGUGUGUGUGUGUGUGUGGUUUCUUCUGCCCGAACAUCCAGCAGGGAUAUGCUCAUCUGGAGACGAACUCUAAUGAGGCAAAUAAUGAUUUGUGUCUUCCAACGAGAUCCUCCAGUGAAGGAGUAAACGGAUUACGUAAAUACAAUAAAUACAGAUAAUCGUACAAUUCCCUUCGCCGUGGCUUAAUUACCCCAAACCGACGCCAUGCACUUUAUUUAUUUUGAUUCAGUAAUGGCAUUGCAAUCAAUUAGGCCGUAAUGCUGCCAGCUGCUUUCUGCGUGUGUGUGUGUGUGUGUGUGUGUGUGUGUGCAGCUGUUUAGCUGAACUGAACCACAUUAACCGUUAUUAAUGGAUAAAUGAUUUCCCCUCUCUCUGAACGCAUACGUGAGUAAGUGUGUGUGUGUAGACGUGUGUGUGUUGUGUUCUGAUUUGGAUCAGAUACGAAGGCGCAGGAGAUGCGGUCGUGGUACGGGUUAAAGGGAGUGAUGGGGAUUUUAAAGAAAAGCUGAAUUUCAGCCGGUGAUGUUUCUCAUUCUGUAAAAACUUUAUUGACUCGUGUCUGUUUCCCGAAGAGAGAGUCGGCACCGUCGAACACCGCGUUUAGACUUUUUCACGCUCGGUUGAAGUUAUAAAGAACGAAAGGCCCAGAUCCGGCCCAGAUCCGGCCCACGCCUGACACGUUCAUCCGGCCCACAUACCGCGUGGAAUGAUGACACUUGGGCGGUCCGCUCCGGGUUGCCAGAUUUGGGCCAGAAGCAAGCCGUAGCAAUGCCGCAUGCGCAACACUUUUUGCAAAGGUGGCCCACAUUUGUUUUGUGAUAUUUGGGCCAUAUUCACUAUUCCCCACACGGGCCGCUUUAGGGUCACGUCCAGAUCACACACUGCCGUGAGCGCCGCAUCGCUGCCUAAAAAGAGAAACGCUUGUGAUUCAGGAUAUUUGGGCCAUAUUUGCUUAUUUUUGUCCGAGCCAAAAGAAGGCCAGCAGCACUGCCUGAAGUGGCCCACAUCCGCAUGCCAUCUGGGCGUGGCCAAGCUAAUCUAACACAUGAUUGGGUGGUAGUUACACCCAUCGACUCGGACACACAAGUAACAAACAAGCCAUCAAUUUGCUAGUGAGUAAUUCUUGUAGACGUUAUAAAGUCCGUACGGGAUUUCACCAAGUUUAUUUUGUGAUCGGCCGACCGAAGACGCUCGCUUCUGCAAAGACUUUUUCGCAGCGAUGUUAGUUGGUAAACGAGACCUUUUAGCCGUACUCGUGUAGGACGCACGUGAAUCGAAGACGGCUUCGACCGAACACGUGUCGCGGCGACGUCACGUGACGCAUGACUUGACAACGGAAAUAGUUAGUUGUUGCGUAACGUGACUCGCAGCUCAGGUUCUGUCUUUGUUGCUGGUGUUUAUGCAAAAAUCCCUUAAAAACCCCAACGAGUGUCAUGUUCACGUUCUCCAUCACGGUAAAUACCUCAUGCAUUUUCAGGCAGUCUAACCACACACACACACACACACACACACACACACACACAGGCUCCCUGCGAGCGCCUUUAAAUGAAAGCAUGUUUAAUUAAUGAUGCUGAAGUUCUCCGUCACAAUUAAGAAGAUGAACGGUCAAACAAGGCACCGGAGAAAAGCCCUGACGAUGAAAAGUUUGUCUUCCUAAAGUGCUGCUGAGGAUACAGUAACCUGACACACACACAAACACACACACUUUUACUGCACUUGACACUGACAGAUAUGACAGGAGGAUUUAUAGCGGAGCUGAAACACCUCGCGUUCAGCGUGAUGUAUGUGACUAUAAAAAAUACGAAUAAAUUAAAAAUGAAAAAAAAAAAAUGCUGUCCAUCAUUUAAUAGCUUCGAGGAGAAAAUACGACUCGAGGCUUCGUCUCCAACACGCAGCUCCAUGCCGACUCUAAACAUAUAAACAAGCUUUCGUGCUUGUUCUGUGCAUGCUGUGAUCUCAUGUGUUACCCAUAAUGCACUGCGAGCAGAUCGUCGUAAUAUAGGCAGACAGCGGCGGACGUGCGUAAGACGUGAACUCACGACGUUCUGACAGGAGUGUGUAACAGCUAGUGAUUGUGAUUUAGGUUUUGGUGAACAAACCCGAGUCAGUAAUUCUUAAUAACAAAAAUACCGAUCAGUCUGGGUUAGGGUUAGCCUCGGGUUAGGAGUAGACUAGGAUUAGGAUUAGCCUAGGGUUAGGGUUAGCCUAGGGUUAGGGAUUAAAGUUAGCCUAGGGUUAGGGGUUAGGGUUAGGGUUAGCCUAGGGUUAGGGAUUAGGGUUAGGGUUAGCCUAGGGUUAGGGAUUAGGGUUAAGGUUAACCUAGGGUUAGGGUUAGGGUUAGGGUUAAGGAUUAGGGUUAGCCUAGGGUUAGGGUUAGCCUAGGGUUAGUGAUUAGGGUUAGGGGUUAGGGUUAGCCUAAUCCAAACCCAGUCUCAUGACGUUAUUAUUAUCAUAUCGAUGCGAUGUUGUAUACGGCGCUAUCGUGUGCUAGUUAGCCUUUUAGCAAGUAAGCAGACAAUUAGCCAGCUGUGAUACGAUAGAAUAAAACGAUGAUUUAUUUUUAGCGUCAGGGUUCUGGGAGGUAAUUAAUCUGAUGACGGUUCAGGAAAAAGCUUCCUCGGUUCUCUAAACAGAGAGGAGAAGGCGAGUAAAAAUGGAGCGAGAGAGAGAGAAAGAGAUGAGAGAGACGCAAAAGGCACAGAGACAGAAAAGAAAGACAAAGAGAGAGAUAAUAAUAAUAAGAAGAAGAAGAGGCAGAUAGAGACCCAGAAGAGAAACUGAAGAGAUCGAGACAGAGAAGGAAGGAAAAGAAGAGACAGACCGAGAGUGAGACAGUCCGAAGGAGAGAGAGAGAGACAGAAACAGAAAAGUAGAGUGAGACAGAGAGAGUGAGACAGACAAGGGAAGGUGUCAAUUAAAGGAAUGAAGGCUGGUGUGUGUGUGUGUGUGUGGUGUUGACAGCUGGCUGGAGUCGAGCUGACAGCCGUCACAUUAAGCAGCUUUGGUGGCCUGCACACACGCGCACACACACACACACACACACACACACACACACACACACACACGUCUGAAAGUGGAGGCUCUGGUGCUGCAGUGAUUAGCGUUGAACCCCUGCAGCUAUCGCUAAUAACAGUUAUUAGCAUCUGUAGAGUUCUGGGAGAGUUUUUACACUCUGAUCAGGUUUAGAGUUUCAACAACCACCGAACAACCCCUGAACAUCCACUGUAUGACCACAGAAAACCCCUGUAUAACCACUGAACCAGCACACAACCACUGAACCGGCAUGGAACAUUCACAGUACAACCACAAAAAAUACUGUACAAGCACAGAAGCACCACUGAACAACCAGCGUACAGCUACAGUACAACCCCUGAACAUUCACUGUACAAACACUGAACAACCAACAUACAACUAGAGUACAACAACCGAAUAACCCCUGAACAACCCCUUAACAUUCACUGUACAACCAGCAUACAACAACACAACCACAAACUAAACAACCACAAAAAACACUGUACAACCGCUAAACAGCCGCUGAGUACUGACAGUACAGCCGCACUCUUUCUGAGACAGCGCUGUUUAAAAUAAUCUCUUUACCACAAACAGACAGGAAGUAGCUGAUGUGGUUCACUGUAAUGAUUUCUUCAGUGUUAAUUCUUUAUUGAUUGAUUUUUUUUUCCCCAUUAAUAAAUAAAUGUUUUUUCUUUGUUUUUUUUACAACAUAAAAUAACGUUCUUCAGAUAUGAAAUAAAGUAUGAUCAAACAGGUUUUUUUAGAAUGCUACACCAGCGUGUCGCUGUCGUGUUCGUACACACAGCGUAUCAGGAUGCACGCCGCGUCUCGCACAGACCCGCGUGACGAUCCGGAUCUGAUCUCAUGGUAUCUCCAGAUCGUACUGGACCUGGAGCUUUCGCUCCACAUUAUUAUUUUAAUCCCUCAUUUCAAAAAGAAAAAGACGGAGAAAGAACAAAGUCCUUUUCUGAACUUGUGGAAAAAUGUUUCAAUGUAGAGAGCCACAGAGUAUACAGUACAGAACUAUACAUAUAUAC
Long non-coding RNA from Ictalurus punctatus (channel catfish), 4838 nucleotides. Lineage: Eukaryota; Metazoa; Chordata; Actinopteri; Siluriformes; Ictaluridae. The record is from Ensembl.